UUGAACGCUGGCGGCAGGCCUAACACAUGCAAGUCGAACGGUAACAGGAAACAGCUUGCUGUUUCGCUGACGAGUGGCGGACGGGUGAGUAAUGUCUGGGAAACUGCCUGAUGGAGGGGGAUAACUACUGGAAACGGUAGCUAAUACCGCAUAACGUCGCAAGACCAAAGAGGGGGACCUUCGGGCCUCUUGCCAUCGGAUGUGCCCAGAUGGGAUUAGCUAGUAGGUGGGGUAACGGCUCACCUAGGCGACGAUCCCUAGCUGGUCUGAGAGGAUGACCAGCCACACUGGAACUGAGACACGGUCCAGACUCCUACGGGAGGCAGCAGUGGGGAAUAUUGCACAAUGGGCGCAAGCCUGAUGCAGCCAUGCCGCGUGUAUGAAGAAGGCCUUCGGGUUGUAAAGUACUUUCAGCGGGGAGGAAGGGAGUAAAGUUAAUACCUUUGCUCAUUGACGUUACCCGCAGAAGAAGCACCGGCUAACUCCGUG
This 489-nucleotide ribosomal RNA is filed under the name uncultured bacterium. RNAcentral describes it as "bacterial SSU rRNA". It matches the Rfam family "Bacterial small subunit ribosomal RNA", at positions 30 to 507 of the family's 1533-position model. The record is from RNAcentral.